This 391-nucleotide ribosomal RNA is filed under the name Rhizosolenia sp. Its description in RNAcentral is "partial small subunit ribosomal RNA". It matches the Rfam family "Eukaryotic small subunit ribosomal RNA", at positions 582 to 975 of the family's 1831-position model. The record is from RNAcentral. Lineage: Eukaryota; Bacillariophyta; Coscinodiscophyceae; Rhizosoleniales; Rhizosoleniaceae.
AUUCCAGCUCCAAUAGUGUAUAUUAAAGUUGUUGCAGUUAAAAAGCUCGUAGUUGGAUUUCUGGCGGGAGCGAUCGGUCCUUCACUCAGUGUUGGAACCUGAUUGUCUCCUGCCAUCCAUGGAGAAAACUUAUCUGGCAUUAAGUUGUCGGGUAGGCAAUCUCCAUCUUUUACUGUGAAAAAAUUAGAGUGUUCAAAGCAGGCUUAUGCCGUUGAAUAUAUUAGCAUGGAAUAAUAAGAUAGGACUAUGGUACUAUUUUGUUGGUUUGUGCACCAUGGUAAUGAUUAAUAGGGAUAGUUGGGGGCAUUCGUAUUUAACUGUCAGAGGUGAAAUUCUUGGAUUUGUUAAAGACGGACUACUGCGGAAGCAUUUGCCAAGGAUGUUUUCAUUA